UUCCUGGUGGCUCAGUCAGUAAAGCAUCUGCCUGAAAUGCAGGAGGCCUGAGUUUGAUUCCUGGGUUGGAAA
Molecule: transfer RNA, 72 nt
Filed under: Bos taurus (domestic cattle)
Lineage: Eukaryota; Metazoa; Chordata; Mammalia; Artiodactyla; Bovidae
Also listed under: 1 other name
Rfam family: tRNA
About the family: Transfer RNA (tRNA) molecules are approximately 80 nucleotides in length.
Source: Rfam by way of RNAcentral